This 253-nucleotide ribosomal RNA is filed under the name uncultured bacterium. RNAcentral describes it as "partial 16S ribosomal RNA". It matches the Rfam family "Bacterial small subunit ribosomal RNA", at positions 524 to 776 of the family's 1533-position model. The record is from RNAcentral.
UACGUAGGGGGCAAGCGUUGUCCGGAUUUAUUGGGCGUAAAGAGCGUGUAGGCGGCCAGAUAGGUCAGCUGUGAAAACUCGAGGCUCAACCUCGAGACGUCGGUUGAAACCAUCUGGCUAGAGUCCGGAAGAGGAGAGUGGAAUUCCUGGUGUAGCGGUGAAAUGCGCAGAUAUCAGGAAGAACACCCGUGGCGAAGGCGGCUCUCUGGGACGGUACUGACGCUGAGACGCGAAAGCGUGGGGAGCAAACAGG